AAACAUAUAUACGGACGCCAAACCAUGUUCCUAACAAAGGACAGUACCAUAUAUAAACAAACUGUGAGAUUAGCUGAAAAGUUAUUAAAACUCAUUAGAUCGAUACAAAUCAGAAAAACAAGUAACAAAAAUACAGACCGGAUGUGGCAGGGUAUUUAUACAUCCCUACAAAAUAAAACAUGAAGUACAGAUCUGAGAGAACUAGCAGUUACUGGCAAUUAGUUAAAUACCAAUAACAACUAAUAAACAAAAUCAUGUAUCUACAGUGUUGGAACGAAACUGCACGUGUUUUCUUAAAUUUCUGAUAAUUAGGGAGACUGUCAAGCGAGACACCAGCAAAUAUUCUUAAAAACUGUUACAGGGA
Molecule: long non-coding RNA, 364 nt
Filed under: Mytilus galloprovincialis (Mediterranean mussel)
Lineage: Eukaryota; Metazoa; Mollusca; Bivalvia; Mytilida; Mytilidae
Source: RNAcentral